RNAcentral lists this ribosomal RNA (1484 nucleotides) under uncultured Bordetella sp. Its description in RNAcentral is "partial 16S-23S ribosomal RNA intergenic spacer". It matches the Rfam family "Bacterial small subunit ribosomal RNA". The record is from RNAcentral. Lineage: Bacteria; Pseudomonadati; Pseudomonadota; Betaproteobacteria; Burkholderiales; Alcaligenaceae.
AGGGUUUGAUCCUGGCUUGAUUGAACGCUGGCGGGAUGCUUUACACAUGCAAGUCGAAUGGCAGCAUGACUUCGGUCUGGUGGCGAGUGGCGAACGGGUGAGUAAUGUAUCGGAACGCCUAGUAGCGGGGGAUAACUACGCGAAAAGCGUAGCUAAUACCGCAUACGCCCUUCGGGGGAAAGCGGGGACCUUCGCCUCGCACUAUUAGAGCGGCUGAUAUCGGAUUAGCUAGUUGGUGGGGUAACGGCUCAGCCUAAGGCGACGAUCCGUAGCUGGUUUGAGAGGAAUGACCAGCCACACUGGGACUGAGACACGGCCUGACUCCCGCGUGGGAGGCAGCAGUGGGGGAAUUUUGGACAAUGGGGGGAAACCCUGAUCCAGCCAUCCCGCGUGUGUGAUGAAGGCCUUCGGGUUGUAAAGCACUUUGGCAGGAGAAGAAACGGCACGGGAUAAUACCCCGUGCAACUGACGGUACUCGCAGAAUAAGCACCGGCUAACUACGUGCCAGCAGCUGCGGUAAUACGUAGGGUGCAAGCGUUAAUCGGAAUUACUGGGCGUAAAGCGUGCGCAGGCGGUUCGAAAAAGAAAGAUGUGAAAUCCCAGAGCUUAACUUUGGAACUGCAUUUAACUCACUGUUUGGAGUGUGUCAGAGGGAGGUGGAAUUCCGCGUGUAUGCAGUGAAAUGCGUGGAUAUGCGGAGGAACACCGAUGGCGAAGGCAGCCUCUGGGAUAACACUGACGCUCAUGCACGAAAGCCGUGGGGAGCAAACAGGAUUAGAUACUCCUGGUAGUCCACGCCCUAAACGAUGUCAACUAGCUGCUGGGGCCUUCGGGCCUUGCAGCGCAGCUAACGCGUGUUGACCGCCUGGGGAGUACGGUCGCAAGAUUAAAACUCAAAGGAAUUGACGGGGAUCCGCACAAGCGGUGGAUGAUGUGGAUUAAUUCGAUGCAACGCGAAAACCUUACCUACCCUUGACAUGUCUGGAAUCCCGAAGAGAUUUGGGGGAGUGCUCGUAAGAGAACGGAACACAGGUGCGUAAGGGCUGCCGUCAGCUCGUGUCGUGAGAUGUUGGGUUAAGUCCCGCAACGACAUGCAACCCUUGUCAUUAGUUGUUACGAAAGGGCACUCUAAUGAGACUGCCGGUGACAAACCGGAGGAAGGUGGGGAUGACGUCAAGUCCUCAUGGCCCUUAUGGGUAGGGCUUCACACGUCAUACAAUGGUCGGGACAGAGGGUCAGCAACCUGAGGGGGAGCCAAUCCCAGAAACCCGAUCGUAGUCCGGAUCGCAGUCUGCAACUCGACUGCGUGAAGUCGGAAUCGCUAGUAAUCGCGGAUCAGCAUGUCGCGGUGAAUACGUUCCCGGUCUUGUACACACCGCCCGUCACACCAUGGGAGUGGGUUUUACCAGAAGUAGUUAGCCUAACCGUAAGGAGGGCGAUUACCACGGUAGGAUUCAUGACUGGGGUGAAGUCGUAACAAGGUA